Molecule: ribosomal RNA, 253 nt
Filed under: uncultured bacterium
Lineage: Bacteria
Description: partial 16S ribosomal RNA
Rfam family: Bacterial small subunit ribosomal RNA
Source: RNAcentral
UACGUAGGGUGCAAGCGUUAAUCGGAAUUACUGGGCGUAAAGCGUGCGCAGGCGGUUAUGUAAGACAGGUGUGAAAUCCCCGGGCUUAACCUGGGAACUGCAUUUGAGACUGCAUAGCUAGAGUACGGUAGAGGGGGAUGGAAUUCCGCGUGUAGCAGUGAAAUGCGUAGAUAUGCGGAGGAACACCGAUGGCGAAGGCAAUCCCCUGGACCUGUACUGACGCUCAUGCACGAAAGCAUGGGGAGCAAACAGG